RNAcentral lists this ribosomal RNA (231 nucleotides) under Escherichia coli. Its description in RNAcentral is "partial 16S ribosomal RNA". It matches the Rfam family "Bacterial small subunit ribosomal RNA", at positions 1 to 228 of the family's 1533-position model. Lineage: Bacteria; Pseudomonadati; Pseudomonadota; Gammaproteobacteria; Enterobacterales; Enterobacteriaceae. The record is from RNAcentral. RNAcentral also lists the same sequence under 1 other name.
AAAUUGAAGAGUUUGAUCAUGGCUCAGAUUGAACGCUGGCGGCAGGCCUAACACAUGCAAGUCGAACGGUAACAGGAAACAGCUUGCUGUUUCGCUGACGAGUGGCGGACGGGUGAGUAAUGUCUGGGAAACUGCCCGAUGGAGGGGGAUAACUACUGGAAACGGUAGCUAAUACCGCAUAACGUCGCAAGACCAAAGAGGGGGACCUUCGGGCCUCUUGCCAUCGGAUGU